This 1626-nucleotide long non-coding RNA is filed under the name Triticum aestivum (bread wheat). Its description in RNAcentral is "long non-coding RNA (TAES_LNC001197)". Lineage: Eukaryota; Viridiplantae; Streptophyta; Magnoliopsida; Poales; Poaceae. The record is from RNAcentral.
CUCCCUGGAAUCACGUCCACGGCCACUCCAUCGCCCCCAGCACGGGCGCGCGUGAUCCAGCGGCAGCGAGCCUCUGAUGGGGGGUUUCAGGUGUUCCCUGCGACUGUACUAUGCCCAGUUUAUGUAUUGUUUCUAAGUGGCUUUCUUUUCUGAAGUUCAGACGUAUUUGCAGGUGCAAAAAAGUUGGAUGUAGUGAUAUGUUGGUUUUCACAGGUACUCCAAAUAUUGGGAAAAAAGAGUUUUCUUCUCCCAAAUGCAUCAAAGCCGUGAAGUGCUAAUUCUUCUUGUGUGCUUCUAUAGAGCCUUGUGUUUCAGUCACCACCAUGACGAACCAGCUCGUCCUAUUUUGCAGAAGCAAGUCGCACGAUAGUUUUUAGCUGGGAUGCAGUUCAGAGGUAAUACGGAAUCAAGGUUCAGUGAGAUUUUUUUAGCACAUUCAGAGAGCUUUUUCAGUGCACUGCAGCCAAAUCCGUUCUGGAGGCCACACUGCUGACGUUUGGUUUUGAUUUUAUUUUACAAACGAAGUUGCUAGCAGUAGUAGAUCUUGGGAUUUGGGCACACAAGGAUAAGAUAUAUAAAUAAGUCGCCCUAAUGAGUUGGAGAUUGCAUGUUCGUUGCUCAGAAGGAUAAGAUCCUUUUGGUUUUAGCUAGGUUGUAGGGGACUGGGAACAUUGACGAAGGACUUCUACAUGGCGAUGUCCUGAAAGAAGGCGAACUCGUGCUCCAUCCUCGUCUACGUUUGCAACUGCCGCUCGAGGGACAGUACAGACCACCCCUGCGGCCCUCUGGUCUACGCAUCAUGUGCUACUGCUUGUGCCUGCUCGUUGCCUCCACCUCAGGGACGAAGGAAAUUUUAGCUGGUCAAGUUCAGCUCCGUGCCGGAUAAAAGGUCAUCUUGGAUGUGUGCCUGCUCGCUCCCUCCACCGUUUGAGCAUUUCUCUGAACUUUUUUCAAUGUAUGCACUACUAAAAUUUUAGUCCAGGCUUUGUACUUUAACUAAGUUCGGUACUGAAUUUUAGAGAGGUUGAGAAAAAUGAAGUUCUACUAUUUUAGUUUAGCCGGUCAAGUUCUUGACGAGGGGUGGUUGUGGCCUGUGGCCACCUGCCCUAUUUUGUUGUUUCUGCUGUAGGCUGCAGCACCUAGCGUCAUCACCCCCACUGGGCCCAUAGUUUGUGCCAAUCCCUGCCGCAAGCUUUCCCCCUGCUAUUGCCACACGAAACGCUCGCUUCUGCAAUUUAUUACAAGGUUGAACAUUGUUGGCCAGUGUUGAGAUAACCGAAUGAGAGAAAUUGUUCUAUAACUGAAGUAGUACUUCAGGGUUCAGAAAACUGAAUGUUUAUUUGAUAACCUCGGUGUUGUAAAAAGAUAUUCAGACGUUCAAAGACAGCUUCCAUAGAAGUUCAAAAUCAAUAACGUUAUGAAGUACAGUAACUAUUAAAAAGGAUUAGUACAUUUGUGCAUGCGUGCGUACUGGGUGUGAUGACUUGUGUGUGUGCGCUCGUGUGUUUGUGUGUACGCGACUUGUGUAGUGUGUGUCCUCUGGUGUGUACUCCCGUCUGUGUGGGUGCUUUGCUUCUAUAAAAACAAUUUGACACUAUGGCAAAUUGAAACAGUGCUAGAAAAUAA